AUACCUUUCUCGGCCUCUUGGUUAAGAUCAAGUGUAGUAUCUGUUCUUAUCAGUUUAAUAUCUGAUACAUGAAUCUACGGAUCCAUGAGAUAUAUUAAGUUAAUUUUUUGUGGGGAAGGUUUAGUGGCUUGCUGCUGAGCCCUCAAGCGUUGCCUGGGCGUUGCACUAUAGCCUGGGCAGACGCACCCCAA
Molecule: non-coding RNA, 191 nt
Organism: Triticum aestivum (bread wheat)
Lineage: Eukaryota; Viridiplantae; Streptophyta; Magnoliopsida; Poales; Poaceae
Source: Rfam